Molecule: ribosomal RNA, 567 nt
Filed under: uncultured Glomeromycotina
Lineage: Eukaryota; Fungi; Glomeromycota
Description: SSU rRNA
Rfam family: Eukaryotic small subunit ribosomal RNA
Source: RNAcentral
UUGGAGGGCAAGUCUGGUGCCAGCAGCCGCGGUAAUUCCAGCUCCAAUAGCGUAUAUUAAAGUUGUUGCAGUUAAAAAGCUCGUAGUUGAACUUCGGGGUCUACCCAUUGGUCAGGCUUAAUUGUCUGCACUGGUGAGAUGGAUCUCUACCUUCUGAGGAACUUUCAUGCCAUUUAUUUGGUGUGGUUGGAAAUCAGGACUGUUACUUUGAAAAAAUUAGAGUGUUUAAAGCAGACUAUCGUCUGAAUACAUUAGCAUGGAAUAAUGAAAUAGGACGGACUGAUUCUAUUUCGUUGGUUUCUAGGAUCACCGUAAUGAUUAAUAGGGAUUGUUGGGGGCAUUAGUAUUCAAUUGUCAGAGGUGAAAUUCUUGGAUUUAUUGAAGACUAACUACUGCGAAAGCAUUUGCCAAGGAUGUUUUCAUUAAUCAAGAACGAAAGUUAGGGGAUCGAAGACGAUCAGAUACCGUCGUAGUCUUAACCAUAAACUAUGCCGACUAGGGAUCGGACGAAGUUAAUUUUAUAAUGACGCGCUCGGCACCUUACGGGAAACCAAAGUGUUUGGGUUC